GCCGGCAUAGCUCAGCUUGGUAGAGCAACCGCCUUGUAAGCGGUAGGUCGUCUGUUCGAUUCAGACUGUCGGCACCA
This 77-nucleotide transfer RNA is filed under the name Rugosibacter aromaticivorans. Its description in RNAcentral is "tRNA-Thr (TGT) (tRNA-Thr-TGT-1-1)". It matches the Rfam family "tRNA". From Rfam's summary of the family: Transfer RNA (tRNA) molecules are approximately 80 nucleotides in length. The record is from RNAcentral. RNAcentral also lists the same sequence under 4 other names. Lineage: Bacteria; Pseudomonadati; Pseudomonadota; Betaproteobacteria; Nitrosomonadales; Sterolibacteriaceae.